This 168-nucleotide ribosomal RNA is filed under the name Mycopepon sp. RNAcentral's name for it is "partial large subunit ribosomal RNA". It matches the Rfam family "Eukaryotic large subunit ribosomal RNA", at positions 99 to 261 of the family's 3401-position model. Lineage: Eukaryota; Fungi; Ascomycota; Dothideomycetes. The record is from RNAcentral.
CGGCAACAGCUCAAAUUUGAAAUCUGGCCCCCCGCCCGGGGCCCGAGUUGUACUUUGCAGAGGGCGCUUCGGCGCUGGCCCCGGCCUAAGUUCCUUGGAACAGGGCGUCGCAGAGGGUGAGAACCCCGUACGUGGCCGCCGGCCUUCGCCAUGUGAAGCCCCUUCGAC